This 1276-nucleotide ribosomal RNA is filed under the name metagenome. RNAcentral's name for it is "SSU rRNA". It matches the Rfam family "Eukaryotic small subunit ribosomal RNA", at positions 119 to 1367 of the family's 1831-position model. The record is from RNAcentral.
GAAUGUAUGAGAAUACUACUUGGAUAACCGUAGUAAUUCUAGAGCUAAUACAUGCAACGACGCCCGACCGUUUCACUACGGAAGGGCUGUAUUUAUUGGAUACCAAAACCAUCCUUCCCUCGGGAAGUUUUGUUUGAUGAUUCACAAUAACUGAUCGGAUCGCCACUGUGGUGGCGACAGGUCAUUCAACAUUCUGCCCUGUCAGCUUUCGAUGGUUGUGUAGUGGACAACCAUGGCCAUAACGGGUAACGGAGAAUCAGGGUUCGAUUCCGGAGAAGGAGCUUGAGAAUUGGCUACUACAUCUAAGGAAGGCGGCAGGCGCGCAAAUUACCCAAUCCCGAUUCGGGGAGGUAGUGACAAAAAAUAACAAUACCGGGCCUUUUUGGGCUUGGUAAUUGGAAUGAGGGAGAGUUAAACGGACCAUCGAGUAUCCAUUGGAGGGCAAGUCUGGUGCCAGCAGCUGCGGUAAUACCAGCUCCAAUAGCGUAUAUUAAAGUUGUUGCAGUUAAAAAGCUCGUAGUUGGACUUGUGUGCGCUGUCCGCGGGUGGCCUGCGCCCAAAAGGGCGUUUCGGUUCGGCCCCGGUGGCGCCUUGAAAUCUGCAGCUGGGGGGACGUUGGCCUUAACUGGUCGGCGACCGCACGCCGGCUGCUCGGUUACUGUGAGAAAAUUAGAGUGUUCAAGGCAGGCAUUGGGUGCAAUUGAAUACAUUAGCAUGGAAUAAUAAAAUAUGGCUCCUGCCGUAUUUUGUUGGUUUUGACUGGUGGGAGUAAUGAUUGAUAGGGACGGUUGGGGGUGCUAGUAUUGAGCGGCCAGAGGUGAAAUUCAUGGAUUCGCUCAAGACUAACUUAUGCGAAAGCAUUCACCAAGGACGUCCUCUUUAAUCAAGAACGAAAGUUGGGGGAUCGAAGACGAUCAGAUACCGUCGUAGUCUCAACCAUAAACUAUGUCGACUUGGGAUCGGCGGUAGUUUUUUCAUUAAGACACUGUCGGGACCAUGGGAGAAAUCAAAGUGUCUGGACUCUGGGGGAAGUAUGGUCGCAAGGCUGAAACUUGAAGGAAUUGACGGAAGGGCACCACCAGGAGUGGAGCCUGCGGCUUAAUUUGACCCAACACGGGGAAACUUACCAGGUCCAGAGAUGUAGAGGAUUGACAGAUUGAAGCUCUUUCUUGAUCACUUCGGUGGUGGUGCAUGGCCGUUCUUAGUUGGUGGAGUGAUUUGUCUGGUUAAUUCCGUUAACGAACGAGACCUCAGCCUGCUAGUGUAGUCGGCUGGA